UAAUAAAAUAGCAACUUCUUGUGAGUUUAAAAUUUAGUAGUUGUUAUAAUUUUAGUCCUAUUUUUUCAAGCAAUUUCCAAUAUAUUUUCACCUUUUCUCUAUUUAUAGAAAUCUUACACCCAUUUCAUUUGCUCUUGCUGUCGAUUACGAUUUAAAAUUUAAAUCAUGUCGCAUUAAAUCAAACUGUGCAUUCCGAUAAAUCAAAUGAUGUCGAACCAAUGAUGUGAAACAGAAGGAGUAAAAGCAGAAGGAAUCUGCAAACCCAAUUCCAUUUGCUUUGAGCCGGGCCAAAAGGUGUCCGAGAAGAAUCACCCUCAACGGGUAUAGAAAUGGGAAUGGGAAGUGUGAGGCGGGUCGGAUGUAAAGCGAAAUGUGAGUGUGCAAGAUUUGUAUAUACCACCUUCUUGUUUGCGUCAUUUGCCUGUUUUGUGUGAAGCCGCAGCUCACUCUGGCCGAAAGCAGUUUGGAUCGCUCUUUAGAAGAAGUCUCUGAUUGAUGGCCGUCUUGGGCAGACAAUUAUAUAAAUUGGCAGCGGCUUGCGUGUAAUUACUGAUCGAUUUUUGUUCUUUUCGGUGUUAUAUGCAAAUUGACAGGUGAACUGGGCUUUGAAAAUCUUGACAACUCACGGAAUGCAUGGAAAGCUCAACUAUGUCACGCUGCGAACAACUUUCUGAGCCGAUUACUGUAAUUAACUUGUUCUAAUCGGUUUGGACUAGGUGAUGAGGCCAAACUCAAAGUGUGUGGCGAGUUAAGCUAAUUAAAACUUAUGUAAGCGGAUAAUCAGCGGGUUUCAAGUGCACAAAAUGUUUGCUGCUAUAAGUGAUGCCAAAAAUUUAAAUUUAUUUUGACAAUAUAUCUCUUUACAGUCUA
Molecule: long non-coding RNA, 870 nt
Organism: Drosophila elegans
Lineage: Eukaryota; Metazoa; Arthropoda; Insecta; Diptera; Drosophilidae
Exons: 3
Source: RefSeq, a predicted model, not a curated record